Molecule: long non-coding RNA, 784 nt
Filed under: Homo sapiens (human)
Lineage: Eukaryota; Metazoa; Chordata; Mammalia; Primates; Hominidae
Description: HSALNT0161239
Source: RNAcentral
AUUCAGUGAAAUGUUCAGUGAAAUGACUCAGAAACACGAAGUCAAAUAUUGCAUGUUCUCAUUAGUGAGAGCUGGACCAUGGGUACCCAUGAAUAGAAUAAUAGACAUUGGAGACUCAAAAGGUGGGAAAGUAAGAAGAGCUGAGGGUUGAUCUACUACUCAUGGGUACAAUGUUCACUAUUCAGGUGAUGGGUUCACUAGAAGCCCAGACUUUACCACAGUGCAAUAUAUGCAUGUUAAGAAAUCUGCACUUGUGACGCCUAAAUAUCUAACAAAAAAUUAUUUUCAGAAAUAGUACUUUUUGCGGGCCACUGCACCCAGCCAGAAAAGGGACUACUUUUUAAUUGAGAAAGGGAACUAUUUCUUACUUGAUGAGAAGAAAUGCUUUUCCUAAUGAGUUCAUAUGCCUAACAAAAGGACAUACAUAGAUAUUUUUAUUGAAACUGUACUUACAUUAUAAUGGUUAAAAGGUGAACGCAACUCAACUCUUCAUCUGAAAUAAAAGAGAUAAGUAAAUUGUGGUCUAUUUAUACAACGGAAUACUAACCCACCCAUAAAGUGAAUGAACUUUAGCUGCAUGAAACAGCAUGGAUAAACUUCAUAUGCAUAAUGUUGAGUGAAAAGAGUAAGAUGCACACACAAAAAUACACAUCACUUGAUUCCAUUUAUACAAAGUACAAGAAUAGGUAAAACCAAUUCAUAUUGUUAGAAUCAAGAUAGUGGUUACCUCUGGGGAGCUCUUGAUUGGGAGAGGGCAAUGAGUGAAGCUUCCAGAUAACUGGAA